This 67-nucleotide transfer RNA is filed under the name Allograpta javana. RNAcentral describes it as "tRNA-His". Lineage: Eukaryota; Metazoa; Arthropoda; Insecta; Diptera; Syrphidae. The record is from RNAcentral. RNAcentral also lists the same sequence under 1 other name.
AUUUAAAUAGUUUAAUAUAAAAUAUUGAUUUGUGGUGUCGAUGAUAUGAAUUUAUUCAUUUUAAAUU